This 253-nucleotide ribosomal RNA is filed under the name uncultured bacterium. RNAcentral's name for it is "partial 16S ribosomal RNA". It matches the Rfam family "Bacterial small subunit ribosomal RNA", at positions 524 to 776 of the family's 1533-position model. The record is from RNAcentral.
GACGUAGGGCGCGAGCGUUGUCCGGAUUUAUUGGGCGUAAAGAGCUCGUAGGCGGCUUGUCGCGUCGUCCGUGAAAACCUGCGGCUCAACUGCAGGCUUGCGGGCGAUACGGGCAGGCUAGAGUUCGGUAGGGGAGACUGGAAUUCCUGGUGUAGCGGUGAAAUGCGCAGAUAUCAGGAGGAACACCGGUGGCGAAGGCGGGUCUCUGGGCCGAUACUGACGCUGAGGAGCGAAAGCGUGGGGAGCGAACAGG